GUUUUAAUAGUUUAAAUAAAAACUUUGGUCUUGUAAACCAAAAAUGAAAAAAAUUCUUAAAACU
This 64-nucleotide transfer RNA is filed under the name Jonas distinctus. RNAcentral describes it as "tRNA-Thr". It matches the Rfam family "tRNA". From Rfam's summary of the family: Transfer RNA (tRNA) molecules are approximately 80 nucleotides in length. Their secondary structure includes four short double-helical elements and three loops (D, anti-codon, and T loops). The record is from RNAcentral. Lineage: Eukaryota; Metazoa; Arthropoda; Malacostraca; Decapoda; Corystidae.